Molecule: long non-coding RNA, 297 nt
Organism: Carcharodon carcharias (great white shark)
Lineage: Eukaryota; Metazoa; Chordata; Chondrichthyes; Lamniformes; Lamnidae
Exons: 3
Source: RefSeq, a predicted model, not a curated record
CGUUUUGUUACGUAAAGGCCAGGAGGAGUGGCAUCAUUCAAAGGAAAAGAAAAGGGUGUAAUCUGGUUGCCGUGGCGCACAGAUGUAGAAGUUUUAUGGGCCAACAGAACAUCAGAAAUCUUCUGGGAGACAUGUUGUCACCUCCUGCUGAACAGGGAAAGUUAAAUGAAGGCUUAUCUGUAAGCAAACACGCGGUGAAUUGAAGUUGCGAGAGGAAGUGUUGCAAGGAAAUGGAAUAAGGACACUCUGCCAAGUGACUGACACCCUUGGCCAGCCAGUCCCUCAGCUCUAUCCACG